This 1665-nucleotide ribosomal RNA is filed under the name Pomoxis annularis. RNAcentral's name for it is "16S ribosomal RNA". It matches the Rfam family "Bacterial large subunit ribosomal RNA". The record is from RNAcentral. Lineage: Eukaryota; Metazoa; Chordata; Actinopteri; Centrarchiformes; Centrarchidae.
CAACAAAUUACCAUAAAUAACCCCAAACACACUAGUGUUAUAUUAAAUAAAUCAUUCUUCCCCCUUAGUACGGGCGACAGAAAAGGGACUACGGCGCAAUAGAAAAAGUACCGCAAGGGAACGCUGAAAGAGAAAUGAAAGAACCCAGUAAAGCCUUAAAAAGCAGAGAUUUUUACUUGUACCUUUUGCAUCAUGAUUUAGCUAGAAAUGCCCAGGCAAAGAGAACUUUAGUCUGGUUUCCCGAAACUAAGUGAGCUACUCCAAGACAGCCUAUUAAUAGGGCACACCCGUCUCUGUGGCAAAAGAGUGGGAGGAGCUUUGAGUAGAGGUGACAGACCUACCGAACUUAGUUAUAGCUGGUUGCCUGAGAAUUGGAUAGGAGUUCAGCCUCCCGGCUUCUUUUCUCACCCUUGUCCUAACACCCUAUAGACACCCAAAGAAUACCGCGAGAGUUAGUCAAAGGGGGUACAGCCCCUUUGAAAUAAGACACAACUUUUCCAGGAGGGUAAAGAUCAUAAUAAACUAAAGUAAAAUGUUCUGGUGGGCCUAAAAGCAGCCACCCCCCUAGAAAGCGUUAAAGCUCAGACAUACCACUUACCUUCUUAUUCUGAUAACUUAUCUUAACCCCCUAACCUUAUCAGGCCGCCCCAUGCUUUCAUGGGGGUGACCAUGCUAAUAUGAGUAAUAAGAGAGCCUCGACUCUCUCCCCGCACACGUGUAAAUCGGAACGGACAAGCCACCGAACCUUAACGGCCCCAAACAAAGAGGGUAAUGAACAAUAGACUAAACAACUAGAAAAACAUUCAAACUUUAACCGUUAACCCCACACUGGAGUGCCCCCCGGGAAAGACUAAAAGAAAAAGAAGGAACUCGGCAAACACAUAAAGCCUCGCCUGUUUACCAAAAACAUCGCCUCUUGCUGAAAUUAAAGAAUAAGAGGUCCCGCCUGCCCUGUGACUAUAAGUUUAACGGCCGCGGUAUUUUGACCGUGCGAAGGUAGCGCAAUCACUUGUCUUUUAAAUGAAGACCUGUAUGAAUGGCAUAACGAGGGCUUAGCUGUCUCCUUUUUCCGGUCAAUGAAAUUGAUCUCCCCGUGCAGAAGCGGGGAUGAGACCAUAAGACGAGAAGACCCUAUGGAGCUUUAGACACCAAGGUAAGCCAUGUUAAAUACCCCAAAAUAAAGGGCUAAACCAAAUGAAAUUUACCCCCAUGUCUUUGGUUGGGGCGACCGCGGGGAAAUACAAAACCCCCACGUGGAAUGAGAAUACUCUUUCCUACAACUAAGAGCCCCCGCUCUAGUUAACAGAAUUUCUGACCAGCAAGAUCCGGCAACGCCGAUCAACGGACCGAGUUACCCUAGGGAUAACAGCGCAAUCCCCUUUUAGAGCCCAUAUCGACAAGGGGGUUUACGACCUCGAUGUUGGAUCAGGACAUCCUAAUGGUGCAGCCGCUAUUAAGGGUUCGUUUGUUCAACGAUUAAAGUCCUACGUGAUCUGAGUUCAGACCGGAGUAAUCCAGGUCAGUUUCUAUCUAUGCUAUGAUCUUUUCUAGUACGAAAGGACCGAAAAGGAGAGGCCCAUGCUUCAAGUAUGCCUCACCCCCACCUAAUGAAAACAACUAAAAUAGGCAAAAGGGCAUGUCCCCUUUUGCCUAAGACUACGGCAA